RNAcentral lists this ribosomal RNA (1062 nucleotides) under uncultured Actinomycetes bacterium. RNAcentral describes it as "bacterial SSU rRNA". It matches the Rfam family "Bacterial small subunit ribosomal RNA", at positions 281 to 1352 of the family's 1533-position model. Lineage: Bacteria; Bacillati; Actinomycetota; Actinomycetes. The record is from RNAcentral.
GGGUAGCCGGCCUGAGAGGGCGACCGGCCACACUGGGACUGAGACACAGCCCAGACUCCUACGGGAGGCAGCAGUGGGGAAUAUUGCGCAAUGGGCGGAAGCCUGACGCAGCGACGCCGCGUGGGGGAUGACGGCCUUCGGGUUGUAAACCUCUUUCGACUUCGACGAAGCCUUCGGGUGACGGUAGGGGUGGAAGAAGCACCGGCCAACUACGUGCCAGCAGCCGCGGUAACACGUAGGGUGCGAGCGUUGUCCGGAAUUACUGGGCGUAAAGAGCUCGUAGGCGGUGUGUCGCGUCGGCCGUGAAAACCUGCAGCUUAACUGUGGGCUUGCGGUCGAUACGGGCAUCACUGGAGUUCGGCAGGGGAGACUGGAAUUCCUGGUGUAGCGGUGAAAUGCGCAGAUAUCAGGAGGAACACCGGUGGCGUAGGCGGGUCUCUGGGCCGAUACUGACGCUGAGGAGCGAAAGCGUGGGGAGCGAACAGGAUUAGAUACCCUGGUAGUCCACGCCGUAAACGUUGGGCGCUAGGUGUGGGGGCCAUUCCACGGUCUCUGUGCCGUAGCUAACGCAUUAAGCGCCCCGCCUGGGGAGUACGGCCGCAAGGCUAAAACUCAAAGGAAUUGACGGGGGCCCGCACAAGCGGCGGAGCAUGUGGAUUAAUUCGAUGCAACGCGAAGAACCUUACCUGGGUUUGACAUGCACCAGACGCGUCUAGAGAUAGGCGUUCCCUUGUGGUUGGUGUGCAGGUGGUGCAUGGCUGUCGUCAGCUCGUGUCGUGAGAUGUUGGGUUAAGUCCCGCAACGAGCGCAACCCUUGUUCCAUGUUGCCAGCGGGUGGUGCCGGGGACUCAUGGGAGACUGCCGGGGUCAACUCGGAGGAAGGUGGGGAUGACGUCAAGUCAUCGUGCCCCUUAUGUCCAGGGCUUCACACAUGCUACAAUGGCCUAUACAGAGGGCUGCGAGACCGUGAGGUGGAGCGAAUCCCUUAAAGUGGGUCUCAGUUCGGAUCGGGGUCUGCAACUCGACCCCGUGAAGUUGGAGUCGCUAGUAAUCGCAGAUCAG